GUGGGGAAUAUUGGACAAUGGGCGAAAGCCUGAUCCAGCCAUGCCGCGUGUGUGAAGAAGGUCUUCGGAUUGUAAAGCACUUUAAGUGGGGAGGAAGGGCAGUAAGUUAAUACCUUGCUGUUUUGACGUUACCGACAGAAUAAGCACCGGCUAACUUCGUGCCAGCAGCCGCGGUAAUACGAAGGGUGCAAGCGUUACUCGGCUUUACUGGGCGUAACGCGCGCGUAGGUGGUUUUGUAAGUUGGAGGUGAAAUCCGCGGGCUCAAGCUGGGAACAGCAUCCAAAACUGGAUGACUAGAGUACGGUAGAGGGUAGUGGAAUUUCCUGUGUAGCGGUGAAAUGCGUAGAUAUAGGAAGGAACACCAGUGGCGAAGGCGACUACCUGGACUGAUACUGACACUGAGGUGCGAAAGCGUGGGGAGCAAACAGGAUUAGAUACCCCAGUAGUCC
RNAcentral lists this ribosomal RNA (450 nucleotides) under uncultured bacterium. RNAcentral's name for it is "bacterial SSU rRNA". It matches the Rfam family "Bacterial small subunit ribosomal RNA", at positions 354 to 796 of the family's 1533-position model. The record is from RNAcentral.